GACGAACGCUGGCGGCGUGCUUAACACAUGCAAGUCGAACGGAAAGGCCCUGCUUUUGUGGGGUGCUCGAGUGGCGAACGGGUGAGUAAAACGUGAGUAACCUGCCCUUGACUUUGGGAUAACUUCACGAAACUGGGGCUAAUACCGGAUAGGAGCUCCUGAUGCACGGUGGGGGUUGGAAAGUGUCGGCGGUUUGGGCUGGACUCGCGGCUUAUCAGCUUGUUGGUGGGGUAGUGGCUUACCAAGGCUUUGACGGGUAGCCGGCCUUAGAGGGUGACCGGCCACAAUGGGACUGAGAUACGGCCCAGACUCCUACGGGAGGCAGCAGGGGGGAAUAUUGCACAAUGGGCGGAAGCCUGAUGCGGCAACGCCGCGUGCGGGAUGACGGCCUUCGGGUUGUAAACCGCUGUCGCCUGUGACGAAGCGGUAGUGACGGUAAUGGGUAAAGAAGCACCGGCUAACUACGUG
RNAcentral lists this ribosomal RNA (468 nucleotides) under uncultured bacterium. Its description in RNAcentral is "partial 16S ribosomal RNA". It matches the Rfam family "Bacterial small subunit ribosomal RNA", at positions 28 to 507 of the family's 1533-position model. The record is from RNAcentral.